UGGGAGCGGCAGACGGGAUAGUAACACGUGGGAACGUACCCUUCAGUUCGGAACAACCCAGGGAAACUUGGGCUAAUACCGGAUACGUCCGUAAGGAGAAAGAUUUAUCGCUGAAGGAUCGGCCCGCGUCUGAUUAGCUAGUUGGUGGGGUAAUGGCCCACCAAGGCGACGAUCAGUAGCUGGUCUGAGAGGAUGAUCAGCAUCACUGGGACUGAGACACGGCCCAG
RNAcentral lists this ribosomal RNA (227 nucleotides) under uncultured bacterium. Its description in RNAcentral is "partial 16S ribosomal RNA". It matches the Rfam family "Bacterial small subunit ribosomal RNA", at positions 90 to 334 of the family's 1533-position model. The record is from RNAcentral.